Molecule: ribosomal RNA, 497 nt
Filed under: uncultured bacterium
Lineage: Bacteria
Description: partial 16S ribosomal RNA
Rfam family: Bacterial small subunit ribosomal RNA
Source: RNAcentral
GAUGAACGCUGGCGGUGUGCCUAAUACAUGCAAGUCGAGCGAACAGACGAGGAGCUUACUCCCCUGACGUUAGCGGCGGACGGGUGAGUAACACGUGGAUAACCUACCUAUAAGACUGGGAUAACUUCGGGAAACCGGAGCUAAUACCGGAUAACAUGUUGAACCGCAUGGUUCAACAGUGAAAGACGGUCUUGCUGUCACUUAUAGAUGGAUCCGCGUCGCAUUAGCUAGUUGGUAAGGUAACGGCUUACCAAGGCAACGAUGCGUAGCCGACCUGAGAGGGUGAUCGGCCACACUGGAACUGAGACACGGUCCAGACUCCUACGGGAGGCAGCAGUAGGGAAUCUUCCGCAAUGGGCGAAAGCCUGACGGAGCAACGCCGCGUGAGUGAAGAAGGUCUUCGGAUCGUAAAACUCUGUUAUUAGGGAAGAACAAAUGUGUAAGUAACUAUGCACGCCUUGACGGUACCUAAUCAGAAAGCCACGGCUAACUACGUG